This is a long non-coding RNA of Portunus trituberculatus (swimming crab), 870 nucleotides long. RefSeq lists it as uncharacterized. The transcript is spliced from 4 exons. The record is from RefSeq and is a predicted model, not a curated record. Lineage: Eukaryota; Metazoa; Arthropoda; Malacostraca; Decapoda; Portunidae.
UAAGAUUCAGAACAGAACGAAGCCACAUCCGGACGAAUUCGGAUCCCUCAAGCGUGCGCAUUUUUAGAGACACCAACGCUGCCGGUGACCUGCUGGCUGCCUUUCUCGCCUAGGACGUGGACGUGGAAGGACGUUGUGUUGUUUUGAAGUGCCUCUGUGGUGAGAAGUGUACCCUGGUGUGGGUGAGGUACCAGUUUCGGACAGCGAGCUGACAGGCGCCAGACUGCGGUGGUGAUCAGCUGACGGGAGCUUCCAGCUGAGCCUGUGAGCCAACAAGUCAAAGGUUGCUCCUCUGCCGUCUCGUGACGGACCAUCUGCCCGGCGUCAACAUCUGCAGGAGACGAGUGAGCGCACAAGAGACAAGAUAAUGGAAGACCCACUAAGCAAGCGUUCAGGAAAGCCCAACAGGGGAGAGCAAAACAACACUACAACUCCUGAGGAGAUUGAUGACAUCACUCUGCAGAUGUGAAGAGCAAGGUGCCAAGAGACAAACCUCCCUUCUAGAAGAGCCUUAGACCAUGCUGUGGGAAAAGCUGCACAGGCCAUAGAAAAAGCUGCAUGGGCACAGAAAGCACCUGCACAGGCAGAGGAAGCAGCUGCAAGAGAAGAGGCAGAAGCUAGUAGACUAAAACAAUUGUAUCUAAAAAUAAAAAGAGAAAAAUGCUUGAAAAUGUAAACAAUGAAAUAAAUGUAAGAGAGGAUGCACAUAGACUUUUGAGUGUGAAAUCUUAUUUGCAUUAUGUUUAUGCAGUUGUCAAUCCAAAAAUAUAAUUGCUGUUUUUUUACAGUAAUGCCUAUAGCACCUGUAAGCACACUUGAAGAGUGUAUGGGAAGCGCUGUUCAGCUUCUGCCCAUUAGUGGUACAGACAA